Molecule: non-coding RNA, 74 nt
Organism: Podarcis lilfordi (Lilford's wall lizard)
Lineage: Eukaryota; Metazoa; Chordata; Lepidosauria; Squamata; Lacertidae
Source: the annotation of a GenBank genome assembly
ACCUAGGAUAGCUCAGUGGGUAGAACAUAUAACCCUUAAUCUCAGGGUUGUGAGUUCAAGCCCCACAUUGGGUA